This 254-nucleotide ribosomal RNA is filed under the name uncultured bacterium. RNAcentral's name for it is "partial 16S ribosomal RNA". It matches the Rfam family "Bacterial small subunit ribosomal RNA", at positions 524 to 777 of the family's 1533-position model. The record is from RNAcentral.
UACGAAGGGGGCGAGCGUUGUUCGGAUUUACUGGGCGUAAAGGGCGCGUAGGCGGCCUCGCAAGUCGAGUGUGAAAGCCCCGGGCUCAACCUGGGAAUUGCGCUCGAGACUGUGGUGCUGGAGUUCGGGAGAGGAGCGUGGAAUUCCCAGUGUAGAGGUGAAAUUCGUAGAUAUUGGGAAGAACACCGGUGGCGAAGGCGGCGCUCUGGACCGAGACUGACGCUGAGGCGCGAAGGCGUGGGGAGCAAACAGGG